Molecule: unclassified non-coding RNA, 324 nt
Filed under: soil metagenome
Description: partial contains 5.8S ribosomal RNA, internal transcribed spacer 2, and large subunit ribosomal RNA
Rfam family: 5.8S ribosomal RNA (bases 1-120)
Source: RNAcentral
GAUGAAGAACGCAGCGAAAUGCGAUAAGUAGUGUGAAUUGCAGAAUUCAGUGAAUCAUCGAAUCUUUGAACGCACAUUGCGCCCUGUGGUAUUCCGCAGGGCAUGCCUGUUCGAGCGUCAUUUCAACCCUCAAGCCCCGCUUGGUGUUGGGCCCCGCCCGCUGUGGCCGGCCCUAAAGACAGUGGCGGCGCCGCCUGGCCCUCAGCGUAGUACAUCUCUCGCUCCAGGGUCCGGUGGCCGCCUGCCAGAACCCCCCAACUCUGUGGUUGACCUCGGAUCAGGUAGGGAUACCCGCUGAACUUAAGCAUAUCAAUAAGCGGAGGA